Molecule: ribosomal RNA, 273 nt
Filed under: uncultured bacterium
Lineage: Bacteria
Description: partial 16S ribosomal RNA
Rfam family: Bacterial small subunit ribosomal RNA
Source: RNAcentral
GACGAACCGAGCGAACGUUGUUCGGAAUCACUGGGCUUAAAGGGCGCGUAGGCGGGCAUUCAAGUCCGUGGUGAAAUACCUCAGCUCAACUGAGGAACUGCCUCGGAUACUGGGUGCCUCGAGGGUGGUAGGGGUAUGCGGAACUAUCGGUGGAGCGGUGAAAUGCGUUGAUAUCGAUAGGAACUCCGGUGGCGAAGGCGGCAUACUGGACCACGUCUGACGCUGAGGCGCGAAAGCCAGGGGAGCAAACGGGAUUAGAAACCCCCGUAGUCC